Molecule: ribosomal RNA, 468 nt
Filed under: uncultured bacterium
Lineage: Bacteria
Description: partial 16S ribosomal RNA
Rfam family: Bacterial small subunit ribosomal RNA
Source: RNAcentral
GACGAACGCUGGCGGCGUGCUUAACACAUGCAAGUCGAACGGAAAGGCCCUGCUUUUGUUGGGUACUCGAGUGGCGAACGGGUGAGUAACACGUGAGUAACCUGCCCUUGACUUUGGGAUAAGUUCAGGAAACUGGGGCUAAUACCGGAUAGGAGCUCCUGUUGUAUGGUGGGGGUUGGAGAGUUUUGGCGGUUGGGGUUGGUCUCGCGGCUUAUCAGCUUGUUGGUGGGGAAGUGGCUUCCCAAGGCUUUGGCGGGUAGCCGGCUGGAGAGGGUGACCGGCCACAUGGGGACGGAGUGAGGCCCCAGACUCCAACGGAGGGCAGAGGGGGGGAGUUUUGCACAAGGGGCGGAGGCCUGAGGCAGGAACGCCGGGUGCGGGAAGACGGCCUCCGGGUGGAAAAUCGCUUUCGCCGGGGACGAAGGGUGAGUGACGGUACCGGGAGAAGAAGCACCGGCUAACUACGUG